Ostrea edulis (European flat oyster) is the source of this 3266-nucleotide long non-coding RNA. RefSeq lists it as uncharacterized. The transcript is spliced from 2 exons. The record is from RefSeq and is a predicted model, not a curated record. NCBI's taxonomy places the organism in Eukaryota, Metazoa, Mollusca, Bivalvia, Ostreida, Ostreidae.
CGAUGAAAACUGCUGUGGGAUUUGAAAUGUAGAUGCUGAUGGCGAAAUAUUUUGGUAGGGUGAGCCUGUUUGGCUGUGACCAUCAAAUGCACCUGAAAUCAAAACAGGAAGCGAUGACCAGCUGGUUACAAGUUUGAAGACCUGUUUAUACGACUCACAAACCGACGAGGAAGCAUUGGGGGUAUUUAUCGUACUCUGCUACAACAGAGAGCACCUUCUGCUAUAUCAGGGAACACCUGCUACAAGAGAGCACCUUCUGCUAUAACAGGGAGCACCUUCUGCUAUAUUAGGGAACACUUGCUACAACAGAGAGCACCUUCUGCUAUAUCAGGGAACACCUGCUACAACAGAGAGCACCUUCUGCUAUAACAGGAGCACCUCCUGUUAUAUUAGGGAACACCUGCUACAACAGAGAGCACCCUCUGCUAUAAAAGGGAGCACCUUCUGCUGUAACAGGAGGCACCUGCUACAACAGAUACCACCUUCUGCUACAACAGAGAACACUUUCUGCGACAACAGGGAGCACCUGCUACAACAGAGAACACCUUUUGCUACAACAGGGAGCACUUGCUACAACAGAGAGCACCUUCUGCUAUAUCAGGGAGCACCUGCUAUAACAGGAAGCACCUGCUACAGCAGAUAGCACCUUCUGCUACAACAGAUAGCACCUUCUGCUACUACAGGGAGCACCUGCUACAACAGAGAGCACCUUGUACUAUAACAGAGAGCAAAUUCUGCUAUAACAUGGAGCAAAUUCUGCUAUAACAGAGAGCACCUUCUGCUAUAACAGAGAGCACCUUCUGCUACAUGUAUAACAGGCAGCACGUUCUGCUAUAAGAGGGUACACCUUCUGCUCUAUUGCAAUAAAAUAGAGUACCUUUUCUUUAUACAACAGCUAGUAUUUCUUGUGAGUUCCGUCUUACACGUGGCUCACUGACAUGUAUGUUCGAUAAUGUCAAUAUAAUAUGCAUGUGUAAUUAACAUAUACAGAUGGUCAGUGCAACAUAAAUUAAAUGCACACAGUAGAUGCACAUGCAGCCCGGAGAAGGGGUGGGUGGGUUCGUAUGAACUCGCCAACCUCCACCUGAAAACCGAUUACCUAUCAAAAUCGAAAUUGAUUCCAUAUUGAACGUUGGUUAGACGUACGUAUUAAUUCAUUAAGACGAAUAAUUGAUUAUUAAUUUCAUUACAGAGAUGUCGAUAGAAUUAUCAGGAUGCAGGGUUUCACUCCAAUAAACCCACAGCGUCUUUAAAUCGGAUGUUCGAAAAAAAACACUAGCUCUGAACAACUAGCUGAUCAAAGUCCCGGUCGCAAUAGCGAGGAGCGUCCCCUGUGAAUUCUUAACUACGGCCUUGAGAUAACAUGCACUAACAGGGAAGGUCGGGUAUAUCUUUUGUCUUUCUCCGUGUUUUACAAUGUGUGAAAUGCUACGCGCUUAUCAUAUUUAAAUAAACUCAUGAUAUAUUAGGCGGGUAUUUUUAUUACUUCCUGAAAAUCAGUGUUGGCUGUACAUAUCUAAAAUAAAUUCUUUCUAUAACCAGUAUCGUUUUUCAAAGUGGGGGGUGGACGUGGGGGAUCAGAGAAGAUGACUCUACCAUUGUCUCAAAUUCUUGCGAGCUAAAACAAAAGGGUUAGUGUUCACCAUUCGUUACGUGGAUUCAGUUCUUCACUUCAAACUUCAAUAUAUUCUCAGAAUAUACCAUUCAAUACUACUAUGAAAAGGGGAGAUUAUACGUGCACAUUUUACUGUGCCUGUAAAAAUAACUAACAACGAAAAAUUACCGUUGUCAAAAAAGUUGGCGGGGGCAGCACACCCCCACCCCCUCGUUCCACGUGACUGAUUUAAAGAAUCCGAAUACCUACGUAUUCACUAAUGAGUGGAAUCGUUACGCAGGGCUUGAAUUCGAUACCGUUUACAUUACUUGUGUACUCUCUUCCAUUAAGGAGGUGCUCUACAUUGUUAUAAUGGCUGACUUCUUUUAAAAACAUGGAUGAAAAAAUCAAUAUCAGCAAUAUUUGACUUUUCCUUUUCUAUUUAGAUACCUAGCCGAGUGGCUCAAUAGGCUAGCAUAAUGACUGCUGAACUGUAGGUCGUAGGUUCGAGUCGAGCAGGGAUUUUAAUUUCCCCCCCCCCCCCCCCAGAUUACCUUCUACAAAAAUUGAAUUUUUUGACAAAAUAAAAUAAAUUUGAAAAUUUUCAACUUCAAAAUAUUGUACAUAUCCACCCUUUUCUUCUACAUCGAAUUUCUCUGUUGUAGCAUACGCCCUUAAUCAAUAAUGAACUACACUUAUUUGUAGGAAUUAAUUAUGCAUUUACUAAUGUUUGUCCGUUUGUUUGACUGUAUGAAAAAUGAUCCAACUAAUUUCUAAGGGAGAGAAGAUUGAUUUUCUCCCAAAUGAUAGAAAUAAUGAGUUUGAUGGAAGCGCAGGCCUUCCGACCGCCUGGACACAUCACGAGAAUCUCCAGGUUGUGGGGGUGGGGUGGGGGCUGACCACGCUCAGGGCCCUCUAUAUCAUUACUCAGCUGUACAAUGCUUGAUUUGUCGUGCAGUGACAGGCAAAUACAACAUGUAACAUGUUUUUGGAGCACAAAAGUAAAAUUGAAAGGUAAAAUUUUCCCGUACAUGAUCUGUCUCUAAAUAUAGAUUCACAAGAAAUUAAUGCUCUGGAAUUUGAUAUGUAAUUAAUAUUCAGAUGCUGUUAGAGUCUUUGUUUCGUACAAUAGCACGACCUUGUCAUUCAAUGUAAAAGACCAAGAUGUUGACAUCAAAGGUCUGUUUUUCAUCAUUAUCAUUUUACACCAAUGGAGUCUCAACUGUUUACCUUAAAUUCCUUCUUUCUUUCUUUUUUAUUUUUUUUAUUUUUUAGAAAAUCUAAAAGUACGUUUUUGAUAUGGCGCGAGGCUUCUCGGGUCGUAAACACUUGACAAAUUUAUUUCUAUAUCAGACCUUUAUACUUGAAUUCUGAAAGCUUAACGUUGUCAUUCUUAUCUUAACAAAAAGGUAAUGUAUUUUGUUUUGCCCUCGAUUUAAUUUAAGAUAGACUAAUCAUACGAUAUCAGAAAUAUUUUCAUAAGAACCAUUCGACAACAAAAAGAGGAAAAAUGACGAUAUCCAUCUUGAAAUUCGCCGAAUUGAACACAAAAUGUUUCUUACCGUUCAUGUCAAACUUGUCAGCGGGUACUGCGUCUAUUGAAUACUCCUCCCCGCACCACCGUAGCCACACAGCCACCUCCUCUUUCGUCCAUUGCUGGGGAUGUUUGGCU